This 183-nucleotide long non-coding RNA is filed under the name Cavia porcellus (domestic guinea pig). RNAcentral's name for it is "lncRNA (ENSCPOG00000030347.1)". The record is from RNAcentral. Lineage: Eukaryota; Metazoa; Chordata; Mammalia; Rodentia; Caviidae.
GUUAAAGUCACCUCUGAUGGGACAUGCUUUUCCAAAAAAUGGCACUGUGACACUGCAGGAAUCGGAGAGAUGGCAGCUGAUAAUGCGCACAGUGCAGAGAAAAAAGUGACACGGCAAGUUUGGGCUCAACUGAGGGCUUCGUGAUCGGAGGUGAAGACCAACAAAAGCCACUUGUGAAUGUUG